Molecule: ribosomal RNA, 265 nt
Filed under: uncultured bacterium
Lineage: Bacteria
Description: partial 16S ribosomal RNA
Rfam family: Bacterial small subunit ribosomal RNA
Source: RNAcentral
GUCCACGCCGUAAACGAUGGAUGCUAGCCGUCGGCAAGCUUGCUUGUCGGUGGCGCAGCUAACGCAUUAAGCAUCCCGCCUGGGGAGUACGGCCGCAAGGUUAAAACUCAAAGGAAUUGACGGGGGCCCGCACAAGCGGUGGAGCAUGUGGUUUAAUUUCGACGCAACGCGAAGAACCUUACCAAGCCUUGACAUGUCCGGACGACCUUUGGAAACGGAGGUCUCCCAGCAAUGGGUCGGAACACAGGUGCUGCAUGGCUGUCGU